RNAcentral lists this ribosomal RNA (753 nucleotides) under Tricholoma equestre. RNAcentral's name for it is "partial small subunit ribosomal RNA". It matches the Rfam family "Bacterial small subunit ribosomal RNA", at positions 420 to 1057 of the family's 1533-position model. Lineage: Eukaryota; Fungi; Basidiomycota; Agaricomycetes; Agaricales; Tricholomataceae. The record is from RNAcentral.
AAAUCAUAUGACUCAUUAAUAUGGUGAUUAUGAUAACAUAAGGGAAAAAAAUGAUAUUACCUUAUUAUUAGUGUUGUCCAAAACUGGUGCCAGAAGACUCGGUAAGACCAGAGACGCAAACGUUAGUCAUCUUAAUCAGGCGUAAAGGGUUUGUAGGCUGCUUUAAAAUUUUAAAUCUUUGUAAUAGCUCUUUUACCGUAAUACUAUAUAUAUUUAUUUGAAAUAAUAAUAAACUAAAAUAUAAAAUAUAGUAUAUAAAAUUUAUUAUUUAAAAUAAUAAAAAAAUGAUAUUAAAAAAAUAUCCGUGUAUUAGUAAAGAAAUAAAAAAAUUAAAGCUAGGAUCAAAUUGAGGAUAAACCAAAUAAUACUUAGAGUAGGGCUUAUAUCCGUAGAUACUAAGGGGAAUACUAAAGGUGAAAACUUUUUAUCUACUAUUGAUUGACGCUGAGAAACGAAGGUGAGAAUAGGAAAUAGGAUUAGAUACCCAGAUACCUCUCACUGUCAACGAUGAAUGGUGGUUUGUUAGUUUUAAUAAAAACUGGUAACGAUGUUAACACGAUAACCAUUCCGCCUUGCGAGUACGGUUGCAAAACUGAAACCAAAAAAAUUAGUCGGUUUCGAAGCAAACGAAGUGAGCAUGUUAUUUAAUACGAGAGUACUUGCAUAUCCAAUCAUGUUCUUAGUUAAGUCUAAGUUCUUUUUAAUAAGAAAAACAGAUUGAGUAAUUUUUAUUCAUUUAAAAAUUCGUUUACA